This 497-nucleotide ribosomal RNA is filed under the name uncultured bacterium. Its description in RNAcentral is "partial 16S ribosomal RNA". It matches the Rfam family "Bacterial small subunit ribosomal RNA", at positions 28 to 507 of the family's 1533-position model. The record is from RNAcentral.
GAUGAACGCUGGCGGCGUGCCUAAUACAUGCAAGUCGAGCGAACAGACGAGGAGCUUGCUCCUCUGACGUUAGCGGCGGACGGGUGAGUAACACGUGGAUAACCUACCUAUAAGACUGGGAUAACUUCGGGAAACCGGAGCUAAUACCGGAUAAUAUAUUGAACCGCAUGGUUCAAUAGUGAAAGACGGUUUUGCUGUCACUUAUAGAUGGAUCCGCGCCGCAUUAGCUAGUUGGUAAGGUAACGGCUUACCAAGGCGACGAUGCGUAGCCGACCUGAGAGAGUGAUCGGCGACACUGGAACUGAGACACGGUCCAGACUCCUACGGGAGGCAGCAGUAGGGAAUCUUCCGCAAUGGGCGAAAGCCUGACGGAGCAACGCCGCGUGAGUGAUGAAGGUCUUCGGAUCGUAAAACUCUGUUAUUAGGGAAGAACAAAUGUGUAAGUAACUAUGCACGUCUUGACGGUACCUAAUCAGAAAGCCACGGCUAACUACGUG